This 67-nucleotide transfer RNA is filed under the name Parvimonas sp. RNAcentral's name for it is "tRNA-Ala". It matches the Rfam family "tRNA". From Rfam's summary of the family: Transfer RNA (tRNA) molecules are approximately 80 nucleotides in length. Their secondary structure includes four short double-helical elements and three loops (D, anti-codon, and T loops). The record is from RNAcentral. Lineage: Bacteria; Bacillati; Bacillota; Tissierellia; Tissierellales; Peptoniphilaceae.
GCAAGAGUAAUCAAAGGGUAAGGUACAUUUAGCUAAUGGUUUGUUGGUUCGAGUCCAACCUUUUGCA